GGGCCAUUAGCUCAUCAGGUAGAGCGGCGGUCUUUUAAACCGCGGGCGGAAGGUUCGAGUCCUUCAUGGCCCACCA
RNAcentral lists this transfer RNA (76 nucleotides) under bacterium. RNAcentral describes it as "tRNA-Lys". It matches the Rfam family "tRNA". Rfam says of the family: Transfer RNA (tRNA) molecules are approximately 80 nucleotides in length. The record is from RNAcentral.